RNAcentral lists this unclassified non-coding RNA (240 nucleotides) under soil metagenome. RNAcentral's name for it is "partial contains 5.8S ribosomal RNA, internal transcribed spacer 2, and large subunit ribosomal RNA". The record is from RNAcentral.
AACCAUAGAAACCUGCGGAGUACCUGCGGAGGGAUCAUUAAAAAGAGUGUGUACCCCCCUGUAAAAUGGGUGGGUUACCUCCCGUCCUUUGUUGACCUCUUAGGAGGUUAUUUUGAACUUUUCUGCUUCGGUGGGGUUAAACCUACCGGAACACCCUCAAAUUCUGAUCAUUUAAAAAUUGUUCAGUCCGAUUUUUGUUAAUAAAAACAAAAAACUUUCAACAACGGAUCUCAGAUCGGA